ACCAGUAAUGCCUCUGUUGAUGCA
RNAcentral lists this non-coding RNA (24 nucleotides) under Arabidopsis thaliana (thale cress). The record is from RNAcentral. Lineage: Eukaryota; Viridiplantae; Streptophyta; Magnoliopsida; Brassicales; Brassicaceae.